This is a non-coding RNA of Danionella cerebrum, 75 nucleotides long. Lineage: Eukaryota; Metazoa; Chordata; Actinopteri; Cypriniformes; Danionidae. The record is from the annotation of a GenBank genome assembly.
GGCCUGUUAGCUCAGCUGGUUAGAGCGUGGUGCUAAUGACGCCGAAGGUUGUGGGUUCGAUCCCCACAUGGGCCA